GUAUAUAUUAUAUUAUAUUCCAACGACAUUCUGAACAUACUCGAGAGAUUGUGAUAAAAUGACAUAGACCUGGGGGAAAGGUACAAGGAAAAGCCGGCCUAAGAAAAAAGCGACAGCAAUUCCCGACUCGAACACAAGUUCAUGGAGCUCUCCCAUUUCCAGGAUCUACAAAAUGUGCACAGUUGGAAGAAAUGACAAAGAUGAGACAAGCGUGCACGACACCCCGGAGGGCCAGCAACAGCCUGUUCAAGUUUAUACGAUAAUGAUCCUUCCGCAGGUUCACCUACGGAAA
This 292-nucleotide unclassified non-coding RNA is filed under the name uncultured fungus. RNAcentral describes it as "sequence contains ITS1". The record is from RNAcentral. Lineage: Eukaryota; Fungi.